Molecule: ribosomal RNA, 464 nt
Filed under: uncultured bacterium
Lineage: Bacteria
Description: bacterial SSU rRNA
Rfam family: Bacterial small subunit ribosomal RNA
Source: RNAcentral
CCUACGGGUGGCAGCAGUCGAGAAUUUUUCUCAAUGGGGGAAACCCUGAAGGAGCGACGCCGCGUGGGGGAUGAAUGGCUUCGGCCCGUAAACCCCUGUCAUUUGCGAACAAACCUUCCGUGUUAAUAGCACGGGAGCUGAUUGUAGCAGAAGAGGAAGGGACGGCUAACUCUGUGCCAGCAGCCGCGGUAAUACAGAGGUCCCAAGCGUUGUUCGGAUUCACUGGGCGUAAAGGGUGCGUAGGUGGUGAGGUAAGUUUGACGUGAAAGCUCCGAGCUUAACUCGGAAAUUGCGUUGAAUACUAUCUUGCUAGAGGGUUGUAGGGGGGACUGGAAUUCUCGGUGUAGCAGUGAAAUGCGUAGAUAUCGAGAGGAACACCAGUGGCGAAGGCGAGUCCCUGGACAACUCCUGACACUGAGGCACGAAAGCUAGGGGAGCAAACAGGAUUAGAUACCCUUGUAGUC